Molecule: ribosomal RNA, 253 nt
Filed under: uncultured bacterium
Lineage: Bacteria
Description: partial 16S ribosomal RNA
Rfam family: Bacterial small subunit ribosomal RNA
Source: RNAcentral
UACGGGGGGGGCAAGCGUUGUUCGGAAUUACUGGGCGUAAAGGGCUCGUAGGCGGCCAACUACGUCUGCCGUGAAAUCCCUCGGCUUAACCGGGGAACUGCAUCUGAUACUGGAUGGCUUGAGAUUGGGAGAGGGAUGCGGAAUUCCAGGUGUAGCGGUGAAAUGCGUAGAUAUCUGGAGGAACACCGGUGGCGAAGGCGGCAUCCUGGACCAACACUGACGCUGAGGCACGAAAGCUAGGGGAGCAAACAGG